Molecule: transfer RNA, 73 nt
Organism: Ovis aries (sheep)
Lineage: Eukaryota; Metazoa; Chordata; Mammalia; Artiodactyla; Bovidae
Rfam family: tRNA
About the family: Transfer RNA (tRNA) molecules are approximately 80 nucleotides in length.
Source: Rfam
UCUCUGGUAGUCCAGUGGCUAAGACUCUGAGCUCCCAACGCAGAGGACCUGGGUUCAAUCCCUGGUCAGGCAA